Dipodomys ordii (Ord's kangaroo rat) is the source of this 107-nucleotide small nuclear RNA. NCBI's taxonomy places the organism in Eukaryota, Metazoa, Chordata, Mammalia, Rodentia, Heteromyidae. The record is from Ensembl.
GUACCUACUUUGGCAGGACAAAUAGUAAAAUUGGAAUGAUACAGAGAAGAUUAGCACAUCCCAUGUACAAGGAUGUCAUGCAAAUUCCUGAAGGAUUCCAUAUUUAA